GGUAGAGCAGUUGGCUUUUAACCAAUUGGCCGUGCGUUCGAGUCGCACACGGCCCACCA
This 59-nucleotide transfer RNA is filed under the name Oceanospirillales bacterium. RNAcentral's name for it is "tRNA-Ser". It matches the Rfam family "tRNA", at positions 17 to 71 of the family's 71-position model. From Rfam's summary of the family: Transfer RNA (tRNA) molecules are approximately 80 nucleotides in length. Their secondary structure includes four short double-helical elements and three loops (D, anti-codon, and T loops). The record is from RNAcentral. Lineage: Bacteria; Pseudomonadati; Pseudomonadota; Gammaproteobacteria; Oceanospirillales.